This 254-nucleotide ribosomal RNA is filed under the name uncultured bacterium. RNAcentral describes it as "partial 16S ribosomal RNA". It matches the Rfam family "Bacterial small subunit ribosomal RNA", at positions 524 to 776 of the family's 1533-position model. The record is from RNAcentral.
UACGGGGGGAGCAAGCGUUGUUCGGAUUUACUGGGCGUAAAGGGCGCGUAGGCGGCCACCGCAAGUCGAUUGUGAAAUCUCCGGGCUUAACCCGGAAAGGUCAACCGAUACUGCGGGGCUAGAGUGCAGAAGGGGCAACUGGAAUUCUCGGUGUAGCGGUGAAAUGCGCAGAUAUCGGGAGGAACACCGGUGGCGAAGGCGGUUCUCUGGGCCUGUACUGACGCUGAGGAGCGAAAGCGUGGGGAGCGAACAGG